Molecule: ribosomal RNA, 498 nt
Filed under: uncultured bacterium
Lineage: Bacteria
Description: partial 16S ribosomal RNA
Rfam family: Bacterial small subunit ribosomal RNA
Source: RNAcentral
AUUGAACGCUGGCGGCAUGCCUUACACAUGCAAGUCGGACGGUAACGGGCCUUCGGGUGCCGACGAGUGGCGAACGGGUGAGUAAUGCAUCGGAACGUACCUUUCAGUGGGGGAUAACGUAGCGAAAGUUACGCUAAUACCGCAUAUUCUGUGAGCAGGAAAGCAGGGGAUCGCAAGACCUUGCGCUGAUUGAGCGGCCGAUGUCAGAUUAGCUAGUUGGUGAGGUAAAGGCUCACCAAGGCGACGAUCUGUAGCGGGUCUGAGAGGAUGAUCCGCCACACUGGGACUGAGACACGGCCCAGACUCCUACGGGAGGCAGCAGUGGGGAAUUUUGGACAAUGGGGGAAACCCUGAUCCAGCCAUGCCGCGUGAGUGAAGAAGGCCUUCGGGUUGUAAAGCUCUUUCGGCCGGGAAGAAAUCGCACAGGCUAAUACCUUGUGUGGAUGACGGUACCGGAAUAAGAAGCACCGGCUAACUACGUGCCAGCAGCCGCCGUAA